This 337-nucleotide long non-coding RNA is filed under the name Hordeum vulgare. RNAcentral's name for it is "long non-coding RNA (HVUL_LNC012538)". The record is from RNAcentral. Lineage: Eukaryota; Viridiplantae; Streptophyta; Magnoliopsida; Poales; Poaceae.
CCCAAAAGACGAUAAACAACUAUGCUUGGGUAAACAAAUCACACUUGGACAAUUGACAGAAUGAUGAACGCACCGCAAUGCUAAUUAUGCUACUUGAUAGUUAGAGGUUCAAUAGUAAUGGAUAGUAUGCCAAGACAAGUAGACCGUUUAUUCAUCAGCAUCUACUUAGUAAUCAUCCACCUUGAGAUAUCUAUCAAGAACAUCUCACCGGUAUUAAGUUGCGAGCCCCACCCAAAGUAUAAACUCAAAGCAACGGACAAUUGCAUUAACGAACUAUGCGUAAGGCAAACAAUCCUUGCAACCGUGGUCACAAGCACCGUUGUGUUCUCCCUAGUGG